GGGACACGUGGUAUCCUGUCUGAAUAUGGGGGGACCAUCCUCCAAGGCUAAAUACUCCUGACUGACCGAUAGUGAACCAGUACCGUGAGGGAAAGGCGAAAAGAACCCCGGCGAGGGGAGUGAAAAAGAACCUGAAACCGUGUACGUACAAGCAGUGGGAGCACGCUUAGGCGUGUGACUGCGUACCUUUUGUAUAAUGGGUCAGCGACUUAUAUUCUGUAGCAAGGUUAACCGAAUAGGGGAGCCGAAGGGAAACCGAGUCUUAACUGGGCGUUAAGUUGCAGGGUAUAGACCCGAAACCCGGUGAUCUAGCCAUGGGCAGGUUGAAGGUUGGGUAACACUAACUGGAGGACCGAACCGACUAAUGUUGAAAAAUUAGCGGAUGACUUGUGGCUGGGGGUGAAAGGCCAAUCAAACCGGGAGAUAGCUGGUUCUCCCCGAAAGCUAUUUAGGUAGCGCCUCGUGAAUUCAUCUCCGGGGGUAGAGCACUGUUUCGGCAAGGGGGUCAUCCCGACUUACCAACCCGAUGCAAACUGCGAAUACCGGAGAAUGUUAUCACGGGAGACACACGGCGGGUGCUAACGUCCGUCGUGAAGAGGGAAACAACCCAGACCGCCAGCUAAGGUCCCAAAGUCAUGGUUAAGUGGGAAACGAUGUGGGAAGGCCCAGACAGCCAGGAUGUUGGCUUAGAAGCAGCCAUCAUUUAAAGAAAGCGUAAUAGCUCACUGGUCGAGUCGGCCUGCGCGGAAGAUGUAACGGGGCUAAACCAUGCACCGAAGCUGCGGCAGCGACACUAUGUGUUGUUGGGUAGGGGAGCGUUCUGUAAGCCUGUGAAGGUGUGCUGUGAGGCAUGCUGGAGGUAUCAGAAGUGCGAAUGCUGACAUAAGUAACGAUAAAGCGGGUGAAAAGCCCGCUCGCCGGAAGACCAAGGGUUCCUGUCCAACGUUAAUCGGGGCAGGGUGAGUCGACCCCUAAGGCGAGGCCGAAAGGCGUAGUCGAUGGGAAACAGGUUAAUAUUCCUGUACUUGGUGUUACUGCGAAGGGGGGACGGAGAAGGCUAUGUUGGCCGGGCGACGGUUGUCCCGGUUUAAGCGUGUAGGCUGGUUUUCCAGGCAAAUCCGGAAAAUCAAGGCUGAGGCGUGAUGACGAGGCACUACGGUGCUGAAGCAACAAAUGCCCUGCUUCCAGGAAAAGCCUCUAAGCAUCAGGUAACAUCAAAUCGUACCCCAAACCGACACAGGUGGUCAGGUAGAGAAUACCAAGGCGCUUGAGAGAACUCGGGUGAAGGAACUAGGCAAAAUGGUGCCGUAACUUCGGGAGAAGGCACGCUGAUAUGUAGGUGAAGUCCCUCGCGGAUGGAGCUGAAAUCAGUCGAAGAUACCAGCUGGCUGCA
Molecule: ribosomal RNA, 1393 nt
Filed under: Escherichia coli
Lineage: Bacteria; Pseudomonadati; Pseudomonadota; Gammaproteobacteria; Enterobacterales; Enterobacteriaceae
Description: partial 23S ribosomal RNA
Rfam family: Bacterial large subunit ribosomal RNA
Source: RNAcentral